GGGAGGAGCGUGCGUCCUAUUAGCUAGUUGGUGAGGUAACGGCUCACCAAGGCGAAGAUGGGUAGCUGGUCUGAGAGGAUGGUCAGCCACACUGGGACUGAGACACUGCCCAGACUCCUACGGGAGGCUGCAGUCGAGAAUCUUUUGCAAUGGGCGAAAGCCUGACAAUGCGACGCCGCGUGAGCGAUGAAGGCCUUCGGGUUGUAAAGCUCUGUUUGCUGGGAAGAAAUGCUCUGGUCUAAUAAACUAGGGAGCUGACGGUACCGGCAGAGGAAGUCACGGCUAACUCCGUGCCAGCAGCCGCGGUAAUACGGAGGUGGCAAGCGUUGUUCGGAUUUAUUGGGUGUAAAGGGCAUGUAGGUGGUUAUGUAAGUUGUAUGUGAAAUACUCUGGCUCAACCAGAGAACUGCAUUCAAAACUGCAUAACUUGAGUUCGGGCGAGGAAAGCGGAAUUCCCGGUGUAAGAGUGAAAUCUGUAGAUAUCGGGAGGAACACCAGUGGCGAAGGCGGCUUUCUGGACCGAUACUGACACUGAAAUGCGAAAGCUAGGGGAGCAAACAGGAUUAGAUACCCUGGUAGUCCUAGCCGUAAACGAUGGGCACUAGGUGUCGGGGCGCAAGCCUCGGUGCCGCAGUUAACACAUUAA
RNAcentral lists this ribosomal RNA (646 nucleotides) under uncultured bacterium. Its description in RNAcentral is "bacterial SSU rRNA". It matches the Rfam family "Bacterial small subunit ribosomal RNA", at positions 222 to 863 of the family's 1533-position model. The record is from RNAcentral.